UUGACAGUUGGAGGAAUAAAAUGUACAUGUGUUUUCUGUUUUGUCAUAUUUGACUUUGCCAUAUUAUUCAUUACAGAUUACAUGUUGUGUUUUUUUUAAGUUUAACGCCGUUUUUCCCAUAAAUUGUAAACAUGUCUGCAGCAGAAGCAGUGAAUUCCAGUGACAAUGAAAAUUUAUGUGUGGUGUGCUUCAAAAAUGUUGAAAUUUAUUCUGUGGGAGUUUGUGAUCAUGCCGUCUGUUUUGAGUGUUCAACAAGAAUGAGGGUGCUCUGCGAGCAAAAUGAAUGUCCCAUAUGCAGACAAGAGCUGCCCAAGGUUAUCUUCACAAAAGUUGUAGAACCUUUUGCUAGCCUCUUUCCGAGAUUCGAAAGGUCAAACUUACAGGACCGUAAAAUUGGCAUUUACUUUUGUACAUCUGAUAUUCAAAAAGAAUACCAAAAAAUUUUGGAACAUCGAUGCCAUAUUUGUGAAGAUAAAGAAAGAAAGUGGCCAUUCAAAACCUUCCAGCAGCUGAAAGAUCAUAUGAGGAGAGAACAUGAGUUAUUUUACUGCGAUAUUUGUGCUACGAACCUCAAGAUUUUCAGUUUUGAAAAACGCUGUUAUACAAGACAGGAAUUGGGGCACCAUAGAAGGAAAGGAGACCCUGAUAAUACCUCACACCGUGGCCAUCCUCUAUGUGAAUUCUGUGAUACUCGUUUCAUGGACAGUGAAGAACUAUUUCGACAUUUACGAAGAAACCAUCUCUAUUGCCAUUUCUGUGAUGCUGAGGGAAAACAUCAAUUUUACAAUAUUAUGGAAGAUUUGGUUAGACAUUUUCGCCAUGAACAUUUCUUAUGUGAAGAAGGGGAGUGUAAGACUAUGCCUCUUACUGCUGUGUUUAGAACUGACAUUGACUGUAAAGCUCACAAAGCUAUGGAACAUAGCAAAUUCAUGAGCAGAUCAGCUAAUAAGCAAGCAAGAACUUUAGAACUGGAGUUUACUCUGGCACCAAGACCAAGGUCUGAUAAUAUGAGGACCAGGAAAUAUAACGAUAGGAGGGAUAGAGAUGACGACUUGCCCUUAGAGGAUUACAACGUUGAACCGGGAGGAUCUGGUGGGGGUGGUGAUGAAAGGGGGCGUAUUUUCGUCAACCCUUUGACUUCUCAGGAUUUUCCUGCAUUGGGUGGAGCAAGCAGUAAUAUAGUCCAUACCAGACCAACCACUUCAGUCAAUUUCACAUCGAAAAUGAACUCAAAUUUCAGCAGCGAAGAUUUUCCUUCAUUAGGCACGGUAAAGAAUUCACCUGCAGUAACUAUAACUACCAACUCCUCAUCGGCAAAAUCAAGCAGAGCUCCGGAAGUAACGAUAACUAGGACUGUGAGGGGUCAGCAAAGUUUGAUCAAAUCUAAAGAUAAUUUCCCAGCAUUGAGUGGACCUAGUAGUUCCAGCGGAAGCAGCACAGUGAGGCUAAGUGUCAAUAGUUCCCAAGAUUCAAAUUCGCCAAAAGUAUCGAUCCAGGUGAACCACCGGCCUAAUGGCGGCGUCACCACUCAUAUCACCACAAGUGCCUCUUCGUCAACCCAGCAGAGGCCUCCAGAAGCUUUCCCUGCCUUGGGAAAAAGUGGAAAAGUAGCUCAACCACAGUGGGUUCAAGUGAAAUCUAAAAAACAAGAACAGAAAAAUUUAAAAGUUGCUCCGAAUCCUCAGUUACCACCUAAUUCUUUGGAUCAGUUUCCAACACUAUCGAAAAAGAACAGUUCAGGUUCGAUGCCUUCAUCCAGCAACUGGGUAAAUUUGAAUAGUGUUAAUAAUUCAAUUUCCAAAAAAAAAAUCAGUUCUUACUCUAAAAACAGUGUAGGUUGUUCUGAAUUGAAAGGUAAUGGUUUAGGUAAUGAUAAAAACACUGAAAGUAAGCAAUCAAUUCCAAAAGCAAAGCUACAAACUGUUGAGAAAAAACUGGUAGACCUAAGGAUUACUGAAAACGGUGAUUCAAAAAAUAAAAACAAGAAGAAGAAAGCCAAAAGUAAUUAUGGGGAAUCUUCUAAAGUAUCUUCGAGUAAUAAAGUUGAUCAUCAGUCUGAUAGUAAAUUCUGCUCAACAGGAAAUGGUGAUACUACCAAUAACGGUGAGUCUGAUUCAAAAAAUGGACUAGUUAAGAAGCGUUCUGAAUUGAAAAUUGGUACUUUAACAAACACUGGUGAUGCAUCUAUAAUUUCAAAUGACUUUCCUUCUCUGGGAGAUACAAAACCUCCUCCUGGAUUCAGCAUGAAACCACCACCAGGUUUGACAGCAUGUUCAUUCCCCAGUUUAGGUGCUUCAAACGAUUUAACAUUCACUUCCAGUAGUGGGCAAAGCUAUUCCAUAAAGCCGUGCAAUGACUACAGUCAACCAAAUAACUUUCAACUCAGAAAUCAAAAUCUAAUAAAAAGGUUCAUGGCUGUUUUGAACAACGAUGCAAUAAAAGAAUUCAAGACUUAUUCGGAUUUGUUUAGGAAUGGGUGUUAUCCUACUAUUAAAUAUUAUGAUCACUGCAAAGACGUCCUCGGUAGUUAUUUUGAUGAAAUUUUUCCGGAACUUUUAGUUCUUCUACCUGACAUAGCAAAACAGCAGGAAUUGUAUAAGGUAUAUGAUGGCAAGAAUAAAAAAAACUUGAUUGUUUGUGAAACUUGCAAGCAAAUUAUUUACAAAAGAGAACUUGCAGAUCACUACAACUUUCAUAUUUUAGAUAACCAAUUCCCAAGUCUCGGGAAAAUUGAACAAAUGAAUAAUGCUUGGAAAAAGUAAGAUUACUUUGAGAGUUGAAAAACUGUAGGUUUAGGCAGAAUCAUUUUUUUAUAAUUAUUAUAAUUUUAAACUGAGGGUCAAUUUAUGUCUAUUUUCAAAGAUAAUGGUAAUUUCACCACUAUUCUUUGUCAUUUAUGCGCAGUAUAUUUUGAACAGAUCCCAGCUUUUUUUUAUACAUUGAUUCCUUACAAAAUACCACUCGGUACUUUUUCAUUUAUCAAUUUUAUUGUAAUUGAUGCCAAACUAAAGUAGUUUAUACAUUUGAAAAGAUAAACAAAAAUUUGUAUAAAAUUCUCAACGUUAACUAAUUCAGCUUUGCCAGCUUUGAAUUGAACUUCUCUCAAUUCAAAAUUUAAAUGAAUAACAACAUUGAAAGUAAAUUGUUUUAUUGAUUGUUGGUAAUAAAAGAAAAAAUUCUAAGUAAAUUAAGUCACUUCAGUUAUCAUAUAUUAGUGGGUAUAUAUCAUUUAAAAAAUUAAAAUACUGAGGUUUCUGCUUUUGGUGUAUUUUUGAAUCAAAUUUCAUUUGAAAUAGUCCUUACCAACCAAUAUUACAAGUACAUUUUCGAAAAUAGUUGAUUGCAUUUGAUAUAUUUAUUUAUGAAAUAUAAGAUGGUAAGUUAAAUUGCUGUUGCUGUUCAUAUUAGUGAUAUUCAAAUAUAUUCCUCUUGAGUAUUAGAAAUUUCGCUGAAUGUGAUGUCGAAGGUCUAUUGGUAUUUCGAUUCUUUUUUCUAUUAGGAUUCAGCAAUUUCAAUUCAAUGCAUUAUUGUAUUGGCUGAGGUACAUUCGAAAACAAUUGCUAGUUAAGUGGUGUUUUUGUUAAUAGAUUAUUUAUUUUCAUUUGCUUACAUAAAACAUAAUUGCAAUGUUAUUGAGACUUCAUUUAUAGUUUUCUUAUGUAACCUUUCAGUCUAACAUACAAUCAAGGGAAAUAUAGAAUUUUGGAUUUUUGUAAAAAUUGUAAAUAAAAUUUUAUGCAUGUUAUACUUUUAUAACAAAAAUUGUUCAUAUGUUGAGUAUUUUCUAAAUAAAAUCAAGAUUAA
This 3804-nucleotide unclassified non-coding RNA is filed under the name Leptinotarsa decemlineata (Colorado potato beetle). RNAcentral describes it as "e3 ubiquitin-protein ligase ZNF598, transcript variant X1". Lineage: Eukaryota; Metazoa; Arthropoda; Insecta; Coleoptera; Chrysomelidae. The record is from RNAcentral.